Molecule: non-coding RNA, 74 nt
Organism: Danio rerio (zebrafish)
Lineage: Eukaryota; Metazoa; Chordata; Actinopteri; Cypriniformes; Danionidae
Source: Rfam
GGCGCUGUGGCUUAGUUGGUCAAAGCGCCUGUCUCGUAAAUAGGAGAUUCUGGGUUCAAAUCCCAGCAGUGCCU